Molecule: ribosomal RNA, 468 nt
Filed under: uncultured bacterium
Lineage: Bacteria
Description: partial 16S ribosomal RNA
Rfam family: Bacterial small subunit ribosomal RNA
Source: RNAcentral
GACGAACGCUGGCGGCGUGCUUAACACAUGCAAGUCGAACGGAAAGGCCCUGCUUUUGUGGGGUGCUCGAGUGGCGAACGGGUGAGUAACACGUGAGUAACCUGCCCUUGACUUUGGGAUAACUUCAGGAAACUGGGGCUAAUACCGGAUAGGAGCUCCUGCUGCAUGGUGGGGGUUGGAAAGUUUCGGCGGUUGGGGAUGGACUCGCGGCUUAUCAGCUUGUUGGUGGGGUAGUGGCUUACCAAGGCUUUGACGGGUAGCCGGCCUGAGAGGGUGACCGGCCACAUUGGGACUGAGAUACGGCGCAGACGGCUACGGGAGGCAGCAGUGGGGAAUAUUGCACAAUGGGCGGAAGCCUGAUGCAGCAACGCCGCGGGCGGGAUGACGGCCUUCGGGUUGUAAACCGCUUUCGCCUGUGACGAAGCGUGAGUGACGGUAAUGGGUAAAGAAGCACCGGCUAACUACGUG